RNAcentral lists this ribosomal RNA (432 nucleotides) under uncultured bacterium. Its description in RNAcentral is "partial 16S ribosomal RNA". It matches the Rfam family "Bacterial small subunit ribosomal RNA", at positions 29 to 506 of the family's 1533-position model. The record is from RNAcentral.
AGCGAACGCUGGCGGCAGGCCUAACACAUGCAAGUCGAACGAACUCUUCGGAGUUAGUGGCGGACGGGUGAGUAACACGUGGGAACGUGCCUUUAGGUUCGGAAUAACUCAGGGAAACUUGUGCUAAUACCGAAUGUGCCCUUCGGGGGAAAGAUUUAUCGCCUUUAGAGCGGCCCGCGUCUGAUUAGCUAGUUGGUGAGGUAAAGGCUCACCAAGGCGACGAUCAGUAGCUGGUCUGAGAGGAUGAUCAGCCACAUUGGGACUGAGACACGGCCCAAACUCCGACGGGAGGCAGCAGUGGGGAAGCUUGCGCAAUGGGCGAAAGCCUGACGCAGCCAUGCCGCGGGAAUGAUGAAGGUCUUAGGAUUGUAAAAUUCUUUCACCGGGGACGAUAAUGACGGUACCCGGAGAAGAAGCCCCGGCUAACUUCGU